Molecule: small RNA, 526 nt
Filed under: Arabidopsis thaliana (thale cress)
Lineage: Eukaryota; Viridiplantae; Streptophyta; Magnoliopsida; Brassicales; Brassicaceae
Description: ATSL044650
Source: RNAcentral
UAAUACAGAUUUAUAUAUAUAUAUAUAUAUAAUAACACCAAAACAAAGUUAAAACAACCAAAGAACGAAACAUCUACCAAAAAGUCAAAAAGUAAAUGAAAAAACUCUCGGUCUUUCUAUUUGUUUUUAGCCUUUGCAUGCUUCGUCAUGUGUAUGGCGCCGGGAUCAGGAUCUCGAACGAACUCAAAUUCAAAAAAAAUCUUUGGAUGAGAUGUUAUUCCAAAGAUGAUGUAUUAGGUCCAAAUAUAAUACCAAACCGACAAUAUUAUGAAAAUAUUUUCCAUAUUAACUUUUGGCAUUCAACACGUUUUAUGUGUACUUUGAGACAAGGUCCUAACUAUAUACACUAUCAGAACUUUACAGUAUUCAAGCUUUUUAGUUUGAGGGAUCAAGGAGGCCUAUGGGAUUGGAGAGCAAGAGAAGAUGGGAUCUAUUUAAAGAAAGAAGCUGGCGAGGCAUUAUUAAACCCAGUUUAUAUGCAUAAAGUGCAUGAUUGGAUAUAUUAAAAAUAUUAACAAGCUAUAUA